UUUUUACUGUUCCUAGAUAUGUCCUUGGCAAACCUCAGUAGAGUAUGGAAGAAUGGAGUAGAGUCUUCAGGACAGCCCUGGAGAGUCAGGCUGGCUUUCAACUGUGAUUCAUACAUAACACAAGAUGUGUGAAUGUCAUGCUGACUCUAAGCCACAGCUGGUGACAUUUCUGGAGCAAAGACAAGGGUCCACCGGUGUGAAGAGACAAGCAGUAAAAACAGUGUUCCCAGGUGUCUUCACAUAAAGGUCAACCUUACUAUUCUCUCCUCUGAUUGCAUUCUUUGUGAUACAACAAGCUACUUAAUGAAGAUGAGCUCCCAAAUUAAUUCAGAUUUUGUAAGGUAUACCAUAAAGGGAUGUGGAGACUGAGGUUACAAGUUUCUCCAAGAACUCUAUUUAGGUCUCAGGUGUACAUAUUUUUUGAUAAAACAAUUAGAUCAAAAAUUAUAAUUUUUACAAUUCAAUUUUUCAACAGGAAUAAAUUACUUGUAUUUACAAAAUCCCAA
This is a long non-coding RNA of Mastomys coucha (southern multimammate mouse), 506 nucleotides long. RefSeq lists it as uncharacterized. The record is from RefSeq and is a predicted model, not a curated record. The transcript has 3 exons. NCBI's taxonomy places the organism in Eukaryota, Metazoa, Chordata, Mammalia, Rodentia, Muridae.